RNAcentral lists this transfer RNA (88 nucleotides) under Pseudoclavibacter caeni. RNAcentral describes it as "tRNA-Ser". It matches the Rfam family "tRNA". Rfam says of the family: Transfer RNA (tRNA) molecules are approximately 80 nucleotides in length. Their secondary structure includes four short double-helical elements and three loops (D, anti-codon, and T loops). Further hydrogen bonds mediate the characteristic L-shaped molecular structure. tRNAs have two regions of fundamental functional importance: the anti-codon, which is responsible for specific mRNA codon recognition, and the 3' end, to which the tRNAs corresponding amino acid is attached (by aminoacyl-tRNA synthetases). tRNAs cope with the degeneracy of the genetic code in two manners: having more than one tRNA (with a specific anti-codon) for a particular amino acid; and 'wobble' base-pairing, i.e. permitting non-standard base-pairing at the 3rd anti-codon position. RNAcentral also lists the same sequence under 6 other names. Lineage: Bacteria; Bacillati; Actinomycetota; Actinomycetes; Micrococcales; Microbacteriaceae. The record is from RNAcentral.
GGUGACGUGUCUGAGCGGCCGAAAGUGCAUCACUCGAAAUGAUGUGUAGGGCAACCUACCGCGGGUUCAAAUCCCGCCGUCACCGCCA